RNAcentral lists this ribosomal RNA (252 nucleotides) under uncultured bacterium. RNAcentral's name for it is "partial 16S ribosomal RNA". It matches the Rfam family "Bacterial small subunit ribosomal RNA", at positions 524 to 776 of the family's 1533-position model. The record is from RNAcentral.
UACGCAGGUCCCGAGCGUUGUCCGGAUUUAUUGGGCGUAAAGCGAGCGCAGGUGGUUUAUUAAGUCUGGUGUAAAAGGCAGUGGCUCAACCAUUGUAUGCAUUGGAAACUGGUAGACUUGAGUGCAGGAGAGGAGAGUGGAAUUCCAUGUGUAGCGGUGAAAUGCGUAGAUAUAUGGAGGAACACCGGUGGCGAAAGCGGCUCUCUGGCCUGUAACUGACACUGAGGCUCGAAAGCGUGGGGAGCAAACAGG